RNAcentral lists this small nuclear RNA (18 nucleotides) under Arabidopsis thaliana (thale cress). Its description in RNAcentral is "snRNA_03984". Lineage: Eukaryota; Viridiplantae; Streptophyta; Magnoliopsida; Brassicales; Brassicaceae. The record is from RNAcentral.
UGGCUGGGGCGGCACAUC